ACGGAACAACAGUUGGAACGACUGCUAAUACCGUAUACGCCCUUCGGGGGAAAGAUUUAUCGGAGCUGGAUGAGCCCGCGUUGGAUUAGCUAGUUGGUGGGGUAAAGGCCUACCAAGGCGACGAUCCAUAGCUGGUCUGAGAGGAUGAUCAGCCACACUGGGACUGAGACACGGCCCAUACUCCUACGGGGAGGCAGCAGUGGGGAAUAUUGGACAAUGGGCGCAAGCCUGAUCCA
RNAcentral lists this ribosomal RNA (236 nucleotides) under uncultured Hoeflea sp. RNAcentral describes it as "partial 16S ribosomal RNA". It matches the Rfam family "Bacterial small subunit ribosomal RNA", at positions 138 to 390 of the family's 1533-position model. The record is from RNAcentral. Lineage: Bacteria; Pseudomonadati; Pseudomonadota; Alphaproteobacteria; Hyphomicrobiales; Rhizobiaceae.